This 460-nucleotide ribosomal RNA is filed under the name uncultured bacterium. RNAcentral's name for it is "partial 16S ribosomal RNA". It matches the Rfam family "Bacterial small subunit ribosomal RNA", at positions 338 to 795 of the family's 1533-position model. The record is from RNAcentral.
CCUACGGGAGGCAGCAGUGAGGAAUAUUGGUCAAUGGACGAGAGUCUGAACCAGCCAAGUAGCGUGAAGGAUGACUGCCCUAUGGGUUGUAAACUUCUUUUAUAUGGGAAUAAAAUGUUCCACGUGUGGGAUUUUGUAUGUACCGUAUGAAUAAGGAUCGGCUAACUCCGUGCCAGCAGCCGCGGUAAUACGGAGGGUCCGAGCGUUAUCCGGAUUUAUUGGGUUUAAAGGGAGCGUAGGUGGAAUGUUAAGUGAGUGGUGAAAGUUUGCGGCUCAACCAUAAAAUUGCAGUUGAAACUGGCAGUCUUGAGUACAGUAGACGUGGGCGGAAUUCGUGGUGUAGCGGUGAAAUGCUUAGAUAUCACGAAGAACUCCGAUUGCGAAGGCAGUUCACUGGACUGCAACUGACACUGAGGCUCGAAAGUGCGGGUAUCAAACAGGAUUAGAUACCCUAGUAGUC